UUGAAAUUCUCACCUACAAUGUGAUGCUAUCAAAAGGUGAGGUCUUCGGGAGGAUUGAAGGUGGCUGGACCCUCAUCAGGAAGGAUAGACAUAGCUUACCUGUGCAGGUGCAGGCUGAGGUGCUGAACAUCCAGGAGUGAAAAUGGGAGCUGCUCCAAGAAGAGGCAGAGAACAGAACUCGCCUCUAGGAUGCUGAGUCAAGUUAUCAUGCACUUGUGUCAGAUGUCACUGAGUUUACUUCUUACUGGGUGGAGACACUUGGCAUUUGUAAAGAUUGCUGGUGAGACAGCAGCCACUGCUCCCAGGCCCGACAACAGGGGCAGCACCAAAGCUGGUCAGUGUUUCCUCCUUACAGGUCUGAAGGUGCUGCAGAGGAGGGUGCUUCCCAGAGAUCACCCCUGUGACAGACAGAUCGAUUGAAGGACCCCUGAAUGGCUGAAUUGAGAAGAACAAGCAUAUUAGGAGGCCAUACAAUGGGAGCCUCUCAGGCAGACAGACAAAGCCGUGGAAACUGCAGACUUAUUUGUAUGUUCUGGUAAACACCUUUGCUUCAUUUUCCCCGUCUCCGCCUGGACUGAGGGUCACCUCACCUCUCCUGGUGUCCAGAGCCUCCUUC
Molecule: long non-coding RNA, 616 nt
Filed under: Homo sapiens (human)
Lineage: Eukaryota; Metazoa; Chordata; Mammalia; Primates; Hominidae
Description: HSALNT0234988
Source: RNAcentral